This 2093-nucleotide long non-coding RNA is filed under the name Homo sapiens (human). Its description in RNAcentral is "HSALNT0175132". The record is from RNAcentral. Lineage: Eukaryota; Metazoa; Chordata; Mammalia; Primates; Hominidae.
UACCCAGCUGAUCCUUCUGCCAUAUACCAAUCUUUCACACACAGGAUGUUUAUGCAGAAGGCAGGAAUCUUACAUGGGGAGGUUUCAUCCUCACGGAAACAAUGACUCUAUCACUAGUCAGAACACUAAUUCACUUGCACCACGUCAUCCCAAGAAAGUUUUAUUUCACUAACAAAGUCUAAAGACAAAGAGAUCAAAGAAAUCUAAAUAGUGUGUUAGUGUUCACUAGUCUAAAACUUGGAGAUCUUGGUUCAGGAUUGCUUCCCAGCAAAUUUUAGAUUUCUAUGUAGGCUAAUCUCCAUUCAGGCUCAGAUAGGCUAAUACUUUUUUUUCUCCCAUAGGAGGACAGAUGUGAGAACAUCUUAGCCAAGUCCUUCAAAUUUAUCAAAAGAAUAUUGCUGAAAAAUACAUUAUUCAGCUGUUGAUUCAGAAAACUUAGUUUUGCAAACUAUUCCAUGUUGGCCAUGUUACCAGUGGCUCUGGUGAGAAUGACUGUAACAUCUGCUCUAAGCUAAACUAUAAAGUAACUUUGUCACCCUGUCCUUUAACUAGACAGCUGAGGCUUUAAGGGGUGAUGUCUAAGGUCUGCCCCAUCAGCUGAAAGAGUGAGCAAAUCUAAGAAGGUUCACCAUGUAUGAAAACAUGUGGAAGCAAGAGGAAUAACAGAAGGCACCGAUGUGUCUGAAAUACACCACCUGAAAGAUGCCACCCCUCCAUUUGCCAAGUCCAGCCCUUAAUGACUUUCUUGCUAAGAAAGUUGCAGGGGAAAAGAACGGGGUCAGUCUGCCCUAAAACUCACUAAAAGGAGAGUUGAGGGAAAUGUUUGCUGGACUGAGAGGCCCAAAGCAUUUAAGAUGUACGAAAUGGAAAGUUGAGGUCAGAGAAUUGAAUUCCCUGAACUUUUCUAGCACCCACUCUCUAGGGAAUUUCUGAGAAAAGCAAAAGUCAAUUUCCCAACUGCUUCAUUCAGAGGUUAGGGAACCUAUCUCUCAUUAAUCCAAUUAUAAAACAGGGACUUCUACUUCCUCACUCAUGAUUAACCCCCUCACAUUCUGGCAUCCGUGGGUUUCCCUCUCCAUUCUCAAGUAAGUGACAGAGGAGAAUCUAACAUCCCAUCACCCCCUGUCCCCACCACAGACAUACUCAAGGGGCCCUUGGUGACUUCUUCUGCCCUCGUGCCUCAUUGGACCAAUGAUGUUGGUGAAUUCCAGGAAGACUCUAACUAAGUGGACCUGGACCACUUCACAGAUGAACUUUGGACAUGUCACCUGAAUCACAGCAUGCUAGACAUGUAAUUUACCCCUGUAUUAGUGAAUAUUGUAGACGUUCAUUUUAUUCAUAUCUCCUUGUUUAGAAUGUCACUGCCUGCAGAAUAAUAAUUUUUUUGUCCUUACUGAAAAUGAAAUGUUGUAUGUGUCUAUAAAACCUAGUGAAUUAUCAUGAACAAAUAGCUUUAAAAGCAUGUAUUCAUUCUCUCUCUCUCUCUCUCUCACACACACACACACGCACACACACAUGAACUUUUACUUCCUCCCUCAUGAUUAGCCCCCUCAAAUUCAUCCUGUCCAGUUCAUCCAGUUUAAAGAUGAGAAAACAGCCAAAGAGGAAAAAUUAGUUGUACUCGUAUCUUGCUAAACCAAUUCUCUCUUAACACCUACCGUAAGAGCCGUCCAACUGCUUGUUCUUAAAGUUCUAAGCAUUUAACCACAAAUUCUUAACAUGUGGUUUUCACAUGUAGGGGCUUCAGAAAGGCUCAAGUUGACUAUGUCCACUUCUAGACAUAGUUUCCUAAGCAACAGCACAUUACAUUUGUGUUGGGCAUUAUCAUAUCUUUCAACUUUUCCAAUACCUCACAUACAGUCAAAGUAACACUCUAUUAGAGUAACUAGUAUUCCUGUUUGAUGGAUUAGGUAACUGAGGCUCAGAAGAAUUAAGAGAAUGGUUCAAACCUAUGAAACUAAUAAAUUGUCCAGUCGGGUCAAAUGACAAGGUGUUCCAGUACCUCCCCACUCAGAAUCUUUGACCGGCAGCUGAUGUCUUUUUAGGAAGCAAACAAGCCAGUGGAAAGUUGAAUGAAGUUUCCCCACUCCCAC